CAUGCAGUCGAGCGAGAAGGGGANUUCGGUCCCUGAGUACAGCGGCGGNNNNNNNNGUAACACGUGGGUAAUCUACCCUCGGGUGGGGAAUAACUCAGGGAAACCUGAGCUAAUUCCGCAUGAUAUUUCUGUUUCAUAGGGAGUGGAAAUCAAAGCUGGGGACCCUUCGGGGCCUGGCGCCUGGGGAGGAGCCCGCGGCCAAUUAGCUUGUUGGUGAGGUAAUGGCUCACCAAGGCUUCGAUUGGUAGCCGGCCUGAGAGGGCGGACGGCCACACUGGGACUGAGACACGGCCCAGACUCCUACGGGAGGCAGCAGUGGGGAAUUUUUGUCAAUGGGGGAAACCCUGAACAAGCAACGCCGCGUGAAGGACGAAGGCCUUCGGGUUGUAAACUUCUGUCGGAGGGGACGAAAGCGGUUGAGGUUAAUACCCUCGAUCGNUGACGGUACCCUACGAGGAAGCCCCGGCUAACUCCGUGCCAGCGGCCGCGGUAAUACGGGGGGGGCAAGCGUUGUUCGGAAUUACUGNNCGUAAAGGGCGCGCAGGCGGNCGGGAAAGUCUCUCGUGAAAGCCCACGGCUCNNNCGUGGAAUUGCGGGAGAUACUUCUCGUCUUGAGNCCGGGAGANGAGUGUGNNNNUCCCAGUGUAGCGGUGAAAUGCGUA
This 662-nucleotide ribosomal RNA is filed under the name uncultured bacterium. RNAcentral describes it as "partial 16S ribosomal RNA". It matches the Rfam family "Bacterial small subunit ribosomal RNA", at positions 54 to 692 of the family's 1533-position model. The record is from RNAcentral.